UACGUAGGGGGCUAGCGUUGUCCGGAAUCAUUGGGCGUAAAGCGCGCGUAGGCGGCCCAGUAAGUCCGUUGUAAAAGUCAAAGGCUCAACCUUUGAAAGCCGAUGGAUACUGCUGGGCUGGAGUCCGGAAGAGGCGAGUGGAAUUCCUGGUGUAGCGGUGGAAUGCGCAGAUAUCAGGAAGAACACCCGUGGCGAAGGCGGCUCUCUGGGACGGUACUGACGCUGAGACGCGAAAGCGUGGGGAGCGAACAGG
RNAcentral lists this ribosomal RNA (253 nucleotides) under uncultured bacterium. RNAcentral describes it as "partial 16S ribosomal RNA". It matches the Rfam family "Bacterial small subunit ribosomal RNA", at positions 524 to 776 of the family's 1533-position model. The record is from RNAcentral.